RNAcentral lists this unclassified non-coding RNA (229 nucleotides) under plant metagenome. Its description in RNAcentral is "partial contains small subunit ribosomal RNA, internal transcribed spacer 1, and 5.8S ribosomal RNA". The record is from RNAcentral.
UCUCCGUAGGUGAACCUGCGGAGGGAUCAUUACAGAGUUCAUGCCCUACCGGGUCGAUCUCCCACCCUAUGUUAUUAUUACUUUGUUGCUUUGGCUGGCCGUUAGGCUCCGGCCCAACUACCGCCCCCGGCUGGUAAGCGCCCGCCAGAGGACCCAAAACCCUGAAUAUUAGUGUCGUCUGAGUACUAUAUAAUAGUUAAAACUUUCAACAACGGAUCUCUUGGUUCUG